GUGUCUUAAUUAUACUUUAGCAACUGUUGCCUAACAUGCACACUAUUGUUUAAAAAACCUCCAGCCCUGUAAGCACAGCAGCUCAGGCUGUGUGUGGGCUUUAACUUUUCUCUUUUCUCCCUUCACCAUACUGGUGAGUCUUUCAGCACAGCCGUCUUCAAGAGUUAAUCCACAUUUAGGGUUUGUAUUUAAACAUCAACUCAGUAUUUGUGAACUAAAUCUACACAGCAGGUGUUAAUUGAGUGCUAAUUUAUUUAAAUUCCUCCUGAUGAAAGUGAUUAAGGGAGGAAGCAUGUCCCUGGAUGUUGGAGAGGUUAUUUUGUUUGUUGUUGCUUUUUAUUUUUUAUUAAAAAAAGAAAAAAUCACAUAGUUUGUCCAGAGGGAAUUGAGUACUUUAAAAAGUAAAUAAAAGACAGUAAGUGUAGCAUGAUCGCUUGUGGUGUAGGAAGCUGUGAGCAUGCUAAAGGUCAAGCUCUGUGCUCAGACAGGCUCUCUGGCUUCCCGGGGACUUCAAUGAGGGUGCAGUGCAUUCGUUUCAGAACUGAAGUUGGCUGCAAGGCAUCAAUUUGAGGACAGCUUCGUACACUCAAGAGGCUGAACGCAACCGGGAGACUUGUAUGAAUGAGAAGGAACAGGAAAAAGUGACAUCCAGAAGUGGUGAAUGGAAACAUGAGGUGACGCCACUUGGUCAAGGCUCCAGAGGAACUUGGUGGCAACAGAGCAGUUACUUGAAAUUUCCAGAGGAGAAGCUUGAGGUGAAUUCUCAUAAACGCCAUGAAAAUCUUCAGCUUCACUCUUUGAAUUCAUCUGACUGAAGUUUGUGGCUUCCGCUCGAUUCCCCAGCCCCGGGGUGUCCGUGCUGUAGGACGGCAGGCUGGGCACGUCACGAUCCUUGGCUGCAGCUUGGCUGUUCCUCGUGAAGGUGUGCCCUGGGUGGCCAUCCCACAGCGUAUCCUGACAGUCAGCCAGAUCCUUCUGCCCUGCAGCCCUGAUGUUUUACAGCUGGUGGAGCUGUAGAUGAAACCUCCUGAGCCCUGCCUGCCCAUGCUCUUGCUGUGCAGAAGAGAAAGUCGAGGUGAAAGCAGAGGAAUUGGGUUCUUCAACACUGCUGUAAAUAGCUGUAUCCAGUGGUUCUGAGCAGAAUGGUCCUCAGCUCCUACGUGAAGGUAGGGAGACACGUUUCCUGAUAGGUAACUGACACAUUUUCUCAUAUGUUACUGCACAACCGGUCAGCUUCCUCCUGUGCUGAGACCAGUUUGGGCUGGGGACUGACUCCAGAAGCUGUGGUUUGCACUCAGAGGCACUGCCUGUUGCUGUGUGCUGAAAGCAGCCCCAUUACCAUCUCCCUGGUGUCCCAUUGCUGCUUCACCAGCCUGGCUCACCUGCAUCAUGCUGUGUGCAGGCAGGAGGAAAGGGAGAGGUUUGGGAUAAGGGCUGUCACCCCAUCCUCUUGCUCCUUCGCUCCUCUCCAGCGUGUGCUCACAGAUAACGUGUGGCAUGACGUGGCUGGUGUCUUCUGGGUGAGCUUCCUGCUGGGUGCUGCAGCACAACGUAGGGAUGCCCGAGCCCAGCUGGGACAAGCAGCAGUGCUUUUUCUGCAGGCUCAGCUGGGGGACACCUAACAGGUAGGAUGUUACUGGUUUUGGCACCCAUCCUGACCAGCUAAAGCUUGUCGUGUGUGCUCACAGACUGCUUGCUGCGUGGUGGAUGUGCUGAGACAUUUGCAAAACUUGUGAAUUUGUACUCCUUUUACACCAGUUGCUUUUCUAAGGCUGUUUUCCAGGUGCAGCUGCAUACCUGCUACAGUAAGAGCUUGAAUGUGCUGAUUACUUCAGCAUCCUUCACAUCGCUCAGUAGUUACAGAGCUCCUGGAUAGCUGUGGUGACCAGGGCAAGUGCUUUAGUGUAACAUGCAGAUCUAUGGCUUGGUGUGGGUAUGGUUCCCUUUGAAUCCUUUAUUGAGGAAGGGUUCCUGAAACAACAGUGCUGCUUGUAUGAAACCCUGUUUUGACAGCUAAUGAAAGCUUGAAUCCUUACAAUGCUGGUGGAUGCCAUUUCUGUUACAAUUAUCACCAGCAGCUCUGCAAUUUGGGGAGCCAAGUUUCACGGAAAGCACGAUUACUCUAGGACUUGUUAAAAAAAAAAAAAAAAAAAAAAAAAAAAAAAAAAAAAAAAAAAAAAAAGGCAGCACUGACAAUUUAGCGUAUUUGCUUCCCAGAACGUGCUGCGUGAGCCUGAGCUGACAUGUGUGAGAGCAGGUGGCCGCUGUCAGCGCUGGGGCAGCAUGGGGAGGAACCCUGCUGCUGCUUUCCAGCUCCUUGGGCAUUGUGUGCGCGUUGCACGCCGUCGCUUGGUGUCCCCAGCUACUGCUGAGAGUGCUGGUCUGCCUCGUGCUGGGAAGUCCUCAGCUCUUCAGCUAAUAGGCAUCACUGCUGGCAUUGCUUCAUUGCAGAGCUUGGAUGUGAAAUCAAUCAUUCAGUAGGUACAGCAAGGAAGGGAGCUGAGAACAAGUAGGAGAUGGAAGGAGGGGAUAGAAGAAAUCACAUUCAUUAACCGGGGUGAUGUCGAACUGCUCUUUUUCACUUGUUUCCUGGUUACAGGAGAGGGCAGACGCUCUGAGCAUCGCUCUUACUUGCUGUUUGACAGGCUUAUCUGUGUGUACGUGUACUUGUGCAAGCCUGUGAAUGGUUAGUAAAAUUUUUUAAGUUGUGGGUCAAACCUGCCCAAGUUAGCAGCGAGCAAAGCUGCUGGGGCAUGCAGCCCAGCGUGUGGCUGGUCGUUCCCUCUUCCUCACCACCGCUGUGCAAGUAACAGACACCGUCCACAUUUCUGCUUGGCAUCUUUCCCUGUAUUUGUCCUUCUGAUCUUGUGUUUGUGACCUCCCCUACUGCUUUGCUGUUGAGCCGCGGAAGUGGAUGAGGUGUGGGGCCCGUGGGCUGCUGCCACGAGGAGGCAGAGCUUGCAUCCCUGCCCCAGCUGGGCACCGCUGCUCCGAGCACGUGGGGAAGGAGAGCGGCUGCAGCAGCGCACCAGAAAGGAGAUUGAUCUUCUCAGAGGUUUGAAUACCCAAGUCCAUUAGAGUUUCCUGGGAAAUAUCAGCUCAGAUUCAUGCUGGCGUACCUUGGAAAUCUUUUAAAAUUAAGUACCAAAAAUCAAUGCGUUGCAAGACUCCCAGCAUGUAAUUCUGAACCCAUUAGGAGAUUUGUGCUAAUUUUGAAAAUAAUCUUUCUAUUUUAACUGUUACUUUGAACGUAUUUUGAAAGUAUUUUGAACUUGUGUAUCUGGCAGAAAGGGAACAAUUAAAGGAAAGAUUACAUUGUAUUACUUUAAUUGUGAUGGAUUGAAUCAUUUGCUGAAGGAAAGUAUCUACAAAGCGUAUCUAAGUGCAGAAGCGAAAAUGAAAAUGAAAAUUGGUCUCAGCUGUUCCACUCCCCAUGACAAAUGUGUAUUUAUGUAAUCCAUCCCUUCUCAUAUCUUGAUAGCACUGCGCACACAGUGCAUGAAUUAAUUCUACUGAGAACUGCGGUGAGAUUAUCUCUGAGCCCAUGUAAGCACAAGGAAUCCACCUUUACUCUCAGGUCCCCUAUAUAUUUAGUGUGGCUGUUGCUGGUGCUUGCUCCCACCAGCAGUGCCAAGGCCAGGCAGUGGAGGUUGAGGCACUGGGGGUUUGGUGACAGCCCUUGAUUAGCUGGUAGUUUUCUCUUUGAAGGAGCACUUCUUAGAAAGCAGCUGUAGGUGGUUUUCCAGCUGCUCCACAUUGGGACAAAACUUCUCUUAGGAGUGAAAUUUUGGUCUAAGAGCUUCCUGUGCUGGCAGUUUGGGGAAGAAAAACAAACCUGCCAUUGAGAGUGGGAAGAAUUCACCGAUAGCUAUGAGACAGGCUCACCCUGGAGGGCAGGGAAGGAGAUCUUGAGCCCAUAUGGUCUUAUUUUACCCUGGUCCCACUGAUGUAUUUUAAUCACCGUGCAGGUCUGGAUGAAAAGCAGUGCCUCAAAAAGGCUGGGUUUGGAGAUAGGGUGUGCGGUAUCUUGACAGAGAGUCGUUUAUAUCUACCUGUAUGAUGUACAGACAGUGCCUUAAUUCAUGCUGUCCUCUCACCACCAGUUAACUGUAAUUGUUAAUGGCAGGUUCAGUAACAGCGUCCUGCACAACUGCACUAAUUGCAAAUCCUGGAUCUCACUGGAAGCGAAGUCCCCUCCCUCGCAGGAGGGCUGCGAAGCUGCCGCUGCCGGUGGACACUGCUGCUGCAUCUUGGAAGCUGUAAGAGGUCGAAGGAAUAGAGUCUAACACCUGCCGUAAGCCCUGUCUCGGAAUUUAGCUGGCUAAGGUUGCUUUGGUUCUCUCGCCUUAAUUUUUGUGGCUCGGCAUUACCUGCAGCUGUACUGCGUGAGGGCCAAGCACUCAUCACCCCCAGUGGUGCUGUCAGCUGCAAGUGCUCGAUACCUCUUGGGACGGGCAGGAAAGCAAGCAAUACUCCUAGCCGAAGGUCUGCUUUGUGCAGGCAGUUCCCGUGUUUUCUGACCCACCCAGCCCAGCAUGUACUUCAGAGGAUCUGAAGACGUUUAACUAGACUUGGAAGUAGACUGUGUAAUGGAGCGUGAAAAAACAUUUUAGUCUGACCAUGUGCUCUAUAAUAUCAGAUCAAUCAGCCAUCUGGCUUGGGAAAAUGGAAUCAUCUUGAUUACCGAAGUGUGCGGAUCCCUCUGGGAGCUGCAGUUAGCUGCUGAGCGUCUCUGAAGAGUGCCCUGCUCUCCUCGCAUGUCCUUCACAGCAGCCUGCUGACAAGUCUCGACACAAGACAGACACAAAUCAAUAGCGUGUUUUUAAAUGUUACUGAGAUGGAAUUUCAGGGAGCCUUCAUGUUAAUGUCAUUUGGCACUUACAUGGAGUAAACAGCAGACGAGGAAAAGCAGACUUGAAUUUGGCUCCAAGAGAGUGAUGCGAAUCCAGGCCCGGCACCUAUUUAACUCCCUGAGGUGUGCUGUGGAAAGGAGAUGGCCUGUGCUUGAGCUGUAAAACUGAUUGGCUCCAGAGUUGGAUUUGUUGUGCAGGUACAGUUGGUUUACAGCACACGUGGUCAGCCUGACCCUUCCCAAAAGAGAUCUGAGCAUCACCACUGAUUUCGGCAUUCAGAGCUGCUGGAGUGUGACAUAUUCCACGAUUCCUCCCUGCCCGGCUGGUGAAAGCACUUCUCUGCUCCAGAGCGAGCCCCGCGACCCGGCACUUCCCUGAAACAAAGAGCUGGAGACAGACGGCGCCCGCAGGACUCAUCCUAAUGGGAGCCAAUUUCGGGAGAAAGCCUAGGCUGUGAUUUUGAGAUCUUUGGUGUUGGUUUAAAUGAGCUCUGCGAGUCCCAGGGAGGAGACUAUUUCUGGGUCUGAGCUCCUGUAUAUAUUUGGUUCAGCUCUGUUCUACUCCGUUGUGCUCAUAGGACCCUUUCCAAAAUCCAGGCAGUUCAUCCAUUUGUUUCUGCAGCCAAAGAGGGCUCCUGUUAUAGUGGAAUCCAUCUGAGAGGCAGCAGGAAGAGGAUCGCAAAUGCUGGGGCAAAACUUCUGUGUCAUCCCUCUGAAGCCCUUUGAUACCCUUCUUGGGAGCUGGACAACACGUGCUCUUGCUAGUCUGAGGCUGUCAUCUUCUGAGCAGGGCUGUCAGCACCAUGAGCCCUGAGAAUGCUGUUUACGUGUUUGCAUCAUUUUUAGCUAAGCGUUUAGAGCACUAAGAAUUUAAAGUGCUUUUAAGUUCUUCUCUCCACUGGAAACAGCAAGUACCUCAUUUUUUACUGAUCUCUGUUUAUAUAAUAAGUGAACAUAUGAAAUGCUAAAGCAGUUUCCAGAACUGUUUGCAUAAGAACUGUUCUAGUAAUAUUAUAAGCAAUAAUAUUUACCAGCUGGGCAAUGCAGCAGUUUUAUACAGCGUAAUAUUUAUUUGUCAGUAGACAGGAGGAAUCAAUGUAUUUAAAUAACACAUCAUUGGCACUGCAUUCAUACACAUACAUAAUUACAAUCAAUAAUCAACUGAGCUCUCUGUUCUACAGAAUCAUUUUCACAAUAAAUGUCAGUAUCUAACUCUAGUUACGUGUGCUUACAGUUAAACCAAUCAACCAUAAAGUACAAAUACACAUAAGGAUAUAUUAAUUUACAAGGAUGUUUAUAAAUAUAUGUUUAUGGUCUACCUGACCGAACCACUUGAACAAAGCUCUGAUGCAAGUUUUUUUUUUUUUAAACAGCAUCACUGCUAAGAAUUUAUUUGUACAUUGUGAGAGCAUUUGAGAGUUCAGGUACCCCUGUCUAGCUUCCCAUAUUCAUUUCCAUGUUUCUGCUCCUCUAAGGAAGCUCUCAGAGCUCCCCUAGGUUACCUCAAGUAACAACAUUCUGGUGAGCAAGGUUGUUAAAACAGUAUCGACUUGCUAUGCCAAUAACAUAUGGAAAAAUAUUUUUUUUCAGCAUUCCCUGACACAGGGCAACAUUUGCCAUUUUAAUAUUGUGACUUGAGCCAUUUUAAGUAUUUCAUAUUGCACAGUGAAUGUGUCACUCACACUGGAGUCCAUAAUGCUAAUGUAUUACAAAUAAGCAACUCUUUUUGUCUGAUCCUAUGCCUAUUAAAGUCAAUUCACUCCUAUUGAUUUGUCUGGAAAUUAGAAAUCAGACUGCGUAUAAAGUGAGUGGCUUUAAUAAGAGAACGUACAGCGUGGAGGGUGACGUCCUGACGCAGUGCUGGUACUCUGUUCAUUUAGCCAUGAAUUUUAAAAGUAGAGCAUUAAGAGAAGAGAUACUUGAUAACUGAAAGCUCAGAACAGCCAUGGAGUAUCAGCACUUCAGUCAAAUGACAGUGUAAGGAAGAAAUGACAAGAAAUCAAGGCACAAGUGUUAUUAUUCGCGUUGGAUCGUGAAGCAGGCUCACUGCUCAGAGAGCUUCCACCUGGUAACGAAGAACCCUCUUAUGCCGAGAAUCAGACUGGAAAAAUUGAUUGCUUAACUCCGAUCAGGAUGUCAGGAGUAGACAAUUGGUGUCACAAAAAGCGAGAGUAACCUUUUUUUCCAUUAACCAUUUAAUGUCACAGAAAUGUACUGCCUAAGUGCUUACAGAGACAGUGAGGGGAGGCCACCCAGCAGCACUCCUGGCCUUCCUGAGGUCACAAGAGUUUCUGCCGGCCUUCUGACUGCAUAAUUUAGAGUAGCAUUUAUUCUGUGGCUGCAUUUAAACCAUUUUUGGGCCUGAAACUAGAAACACCUUUACUGUAAAUCUAAGCAGACUUGGGCAUGUCAGUGGGAUGGCAGCAGUGGUAUGGGAGCCGCUUAGGCCAAGUUCAUGCACAGGAAUCUCAGCUGGGCCUCAAACACUAAAUCCUGUCUGAGCUGUUUGCAGCAAGGAGAGCAGAGUGAUCUUAACUUUCGUGUCAAAUACUGAUGAAUUGGAGUAUAUUGUGAGCAUCAUGUGCUUGUGAAUUGUUUUAAUCACGGGUCCUGAAGCUGUAAACAGUGCUCAAGUAUGCGAAAGACUGUGGUAGAUAGAGACUGGUGUCCCAAAUUCAGAGCGAGCUGGCUGGUAACCCAGCUUCUAGCAGCUUUUGCUCUCAGUUAAGCAAGUGGAACGGAGGUAAUUACCGUACCCUGGAGUCCCACCCUGUACAGCAGGGAACAAACUCCAUCGUGUCCCCGUCACCAGGAGCACGCAGCAGGCGCUGUUUGUGCACGGUGUGUCAGCAGCGCUGCUGGCUGCCAGGCACUGCCUGCUGCUUGCUUGGAUGCCUCUUGUGCUGGGCAAGCAGACGGUGGGCAUCAGCAGUAAGGGGAGCCAGUGAUUGAACUGACUGAGGGCUGGAGUUAAUGGAAAUAAUUAAUGCUAAGAUACACUCAACAGGCAGAUCAUCAAUUGUUACUAGGUCUGUAGCUGUCUCCUGGUUUUCUUUCUGUAAUGCAGAAGGCAGGUGUUUAAGCCAUGUAUUAAUGCACUCUACUUCACAGGCAUUAUAUUUAAUCUGAUAAAAAAAAAAAAAAAGCUAUUUUAUGCCAAAACUAAUUCAUACCUGUCACUCAAAUACUUGAUUACCAUGUCACUAAUUCUUCCAUUCUUACUCUUGUGAGUACCACUGGCUCAGGACUUUAGUGGGAUCAGGCCCUUAUAGGUUUCAAUGAGGUCUUCUUGCUCAGCAGGAAUCAGGAAGCACUUGACAAUCCAGCAUUUUUGUAAGAGCUUGUGAGGCUCUUCUCACAGCUCCUCUGAUGAGUACUGUGAUGCUGACAGAUUGCACUAAUGUUGUAGAAACAGAAGAAGAGAACUGUGACCUGACUGAAUCUUUUAAGAACUCCAUGAAUACAGAAAAGGCUGGUCCCUGGCCAAAGGAAUUCUCUCUUACUGAGAAUAAAUAAUAACAUGGAAAGCUCAAUGCCUGAAGUGAACUCUUCAAAUUUCUGUUUUAAGAUCUCUUAAGCAGUGAUGCCCUCCUGUGGAUCUCGGUAGUAUGCUUUCUACUGGAAUAAAU
Molecule: non-coding RNA, 8481 nt
Organism: Anas platyrhynchos (mallard)
Lineage: Eukaryota; Metazoa; Chordata; Aves; Anseriformes; Anatidae
Source: RefSeq, a predicted model, not a curated record